UCCGUAGGCGGUGCGGCAAGUCGGAAGUGAAAUCUCCGGGCUUAACUCGGAGGCGUGCUUCCGAAACUGCCGUGCUCGAGUGCGAGAGAGGCAAGUGGAAUUGCGGGUGUAGCGGUGAAAUGCGUAGAUAUCCGCAGGAACAUCCGAGGCGAAAGCGGCUUGCUGGAUCGCAACUGACGCUGAGGGACGAAAGCUAGGGGAGCAAACAGGAUUAGAUACCCUGGUAGUCCUAGCCCUAAACCAUCAGGACUUGGGGUUUGCCCUGUACGGGGCAAGUCCCGGAGCUAACGCGUUAAGUCCUGCGCCUGGGGAGUACGGUCGCGAAGGCUGAA
Molecule: ribosomal RNA, 332 nt
Filed under: uncultured bacterium
Lineage: Bacteria
Description: bacterial SSU rRNA
Rfam family: Bacterial small subunit ribosomal RNA
Source: RNAcentral